Molecule: long non-coding RNA, 1660 nt
Organism: Gallus gallus (chicken)
Lineage: Eukaryota; Metazoa; Chordata; Aves; Galliformes; Phasianidae
Source: Ensembl
UUUAGACUCCUACUUCUGCAAUUGUAGUAAAGAUCUGAGAUUCACUAAUACAAGUUUCUCAAAAAUCUGUAAAGAAAACUUUUUAGCUCUAGUGCACGAAAUGAUUUUCAGGUACAGUACCACCUGUAUGUCAAUGACAAGAACUUUUUCCAUCUUCUAAUGUAAACCAACGUGACUGAAUUGUUUUUACUGAAGCUUUCAGUAAAAGACCUGAUUCCUUGUCCAGAUCUAGAGGCUCACUAAUCUCUGGUUAUCAGAAUGCAGUAGGUAGUUUUCCAUCUUUGGAAGAUAGAAAGAAAAUAGGCCAGUUAAAAGUGUAUGUGUUACAAUUUUAAUUGUGUUUUAUAGAAGUAAUUCUUUUGGAGUGAUGCUUAGCCGCCAUUUGUUUCCAUCUUAAAUCUACAGCUUCAAACUGCUCUAUUAGGGUAACACUGAAUCUGAAGUGUCUGCAGUCAUUCAAAGGUGAAAUUUGUUGAUACUGCUGUUGUCUUGUUCUACCAGGAUGUGCAUCUGUAUAUUUGCAGUGUGCUUUUGCAGCUUUCUCUUUCUUUGUUCUGCAGUUGCAACUAGUAUCCAGACUCUACGUGUGCACCCUGCAUUACAGAUUGUACUUCUAUUACCCUGCGGAGCAGUUUUGCACAGUUAAUGAACUGAUGCCUGGGGAGCUGUGCAUACGUGUGGAAUGUGGACCCUAUCUCGCUAUCCCAAACCUGCAUUGUCCUGUCCUGCAGCUUCUCAGGGUUCUGCUAAUACAGAAGGCUGGCAUUUCUGUGCUGCAGCAUUGUAUGAUGAUCAUAAAUACCUCAUCAUAGUUCGAGGUGUGAAAACAAGCUUGACUAUCACCUUGACUUCUGGGCUGUUAUUAUUUUGUAUUCUGGAACAGGAGCAGGGAUUAAGGAUUAAAGGAGUGAAAAUUUUUAUAGGGAGAAGGAAUUGGCAGAUGAACAGUAACAACAGAUCGGUUUGUAUAUUCAUAUUAAUCGUACGUAUUGUCACAUCUAUACUAUCAAAGAUCUUUGUAUGUUAGCGAGAAAGCAGAUUUUGCUCAUCACUUACUCUGAUCACUUUAAAUAUUUAGUUAAAACUUUCAAACUUGAAUUACUUUUAUCUUUGCCAUCAGUUUGUUUCUCUCUACUAAAUGAUAGUAUUUAGAUAGGAUUUACAUGUUGGAAUCAGUAAGAGCAAACUUUGCAGUAUUUUUGUACUUCUUGCUCUAAAUUUAUAACAUUGACUUUCAAUAAUCUGAUAAUAGUAAUGACCUUUAGUUUGGCAUCCUACAAAACUAAAUUCAAUACUUAUAAUAUUACAGUUGUUUUAAUUUGUCCCCGUCCCUCCCUCUCCCCUAACUUGUUUCCUACAAAAUGUAGAGUGUAGUAUAUCCCUUAAAAUUUAAAAUGCUUUCUCAUCUUGCUGUGGAAUUGCAUCAAGAAUUUGUGCUUAUUAAAUUCUACCAGGAGAGGGCAGUAUUGCAUUAUAGUAGAUGUGUGCUGACAACUAGAAGAGGCAGUUAAAGAAAGCUUAUAUAAUGAAACGUUUCUGUGCUAACUUGCUUAGAUAUAUAGCUGGAAGAUACGUAAUCAUUCUAAGUGAUUACUUUUAUGGUUUUCUAAAUAUUUGUCUGAGAUGACUGUUUCAGAAGCUUAAUAUAAUAAAUUUCUUU